AUCAUGAGUUCACAUGUCCGCAUGAUUAAAGGUAUUUUCCGGUAGACGAUGGGGAUGCGUUCCAUUAGAUAGUAGGCGGGGUAACGGCCCACCUAGUCAACGAUGGAUAGGGGUUCUGAGAGGAAGGUCCCCCACAUUGGAACUGAGACACGGUCCAAACUCCUACGGGAGGCAGCAGUGAGGAAUAUUGGUCAAUGGGCGAUGGCCUGAACCAGCCAAGUAGCGUGAAGGAUGACUGCCCUAUGGGUUGUAAACUUCUUUUAUAAAGGAAUAAAGUCGGGUAUGCAUACCCGUUUGCAUGUACUUUAUGAAUAAGGAUCGGCUAACUCCGUGCCAGCAGCCGCGGUAAUACGGAGGAUCCGAGCGUUAUCCGGAUUUAUUGGGUUUAAAGGGAGCGUAGAUGGAUGUUUAAGUCAGUUGUGAAAGUUUGCGGCUCAACCGUAAAAUUGCAGUUGAUACUGGAUGUCUUGAGUGCAGUUGAGGCAGGCGGAAUUCGUGGUGUAGCGGUGAAAUGCUUAGAUAUCACGAAGAACUCCGAUUG
RNAcentral lists this ribosomal RNA (541 nucleotides) under uncultured bacterium. RNAcentral describes it as "bacterial SSU rRNA". It matches the Rfam family "Bacterial small subunit ribosomal RNA", at positions 173 to 715 of the family's 1533-position model. RNAcentral also lists the same sequence under 1 other name. The record is from RNAcentral.